Molecule: ribosomal RNA, 433 nt
Filed under: uncultured bacterium
Lineage: Bacteria
Description: partial 16S ribosomal RNA
Rfam family: Bacterial small subunit ribosomal RNA
Source: RNAcentral
AACGAACGCUGGCGGCAUGCCUAACACAUGCAAGUCGAACGAGACCUUCGGGUCUAGUGGCGCACGGGUGCGUAACGCGUGGGAACCUGCCCUUAGGUUCGGAAUAACUCCCCGAAAGGGGUGCUAAUACCGGAUAAUGUCUUCGGACCAAAGAUUUAUCGCCUUUGGAUGGGCCCGCGUUGGAUUAGCUAGUUGGUAGGGUAAAAGCCUACCAAGGCGACGAUCCAUAGCUGGUCUGAGAGGAUGAUCAGCCACACUGGGACUGAGACACGGCCCAGACUCCUGCGGGAGGCAGCAGUGGGGAAUAUUGGACAAUGGGCGAAAGCCUGAUCCAUCAAUGCCGCGUGAGUGAUGAAGGCCUUAGGGUUGUAAAGCUCUUUUACCCGGGAUGAUAAUGACAGUACCGGGAGAAUAAGCGCCGGCUAACUCCGUG